RNAcentral lists this long non-coding RNA (225 nucleotides) under Cicer arietinum (chickpea). Its description in RNAcentral is "long non-coding RNA (CARI_LNC001563)". Lineage: Eukaryota; Viridiplantae; Streptophyta; Magnoliopsida; Fabales; Fabaceae. The record is from RNAcentral.
GAUUUACCAAAGAAUGAUCAUCAAUAAAAUUGAAUUCAAACAGCAAAAUUGUCCCUGACAAACACCAAACCAGCCUUGUUCUACUGACUGCAGCAACAUUAAAUUUAACCAUUCCUUGCUGCAGUCUUCAUGUGUAUUACACGACCUUGUUCGAACCAACAUUGUGUUCUGCAUGAAACUCGCAUAGGACACCAAGGACCAAGAAAAGCUUGUACAGAUUUUUCU